AAAAGCUUUUGCAGAAGUACUGCAAAAUCCCAGACCUUGAUGAGCAUUAACAUCUGAAACCUGACAUGUGUAAUUCUUACUUUUGCCAGUGGGGUUGUCCAUAGAGCACGAUCGCAAACAAUUUUCAGCGGAUGAAAUCUGACUAUCCAACUUUCCACUCAUCACAGCCUCUUCAGGAUGUUGUCCACUUCCAUGCCUGCUCACAGGCCUCCAGAGCUUCCCAGCUGCCCCAUUUGACCCACCCUGAAGAGCAUCUUGCUUUGCUGGUUUCACUGCAAGAUUACACUUUUUAGUCAUGGCUGGUUCUGCAUGGCUGUCGAAGUUGUCUCUUUCUACAGCAGGACAGUUACCCAGUCCGGGAGUGCUGCAAUUUUUCAUUGGAACAGAAAUAGAACCAAUCAUCACUUCACAGUUACUCUGAUUUUGGUUUAUUGCCUCCUUCUGUGGCUCCGGUCUAAAGCGCUCACCAUUUAGCACUCUAAUUUUUUUUGUCCAAAUCUUACUGCUAUUAACAGGGGCACCUCGGUCUUUAAAAACUCCAUGCUUCUGCACAGGUUCAAUUUUUUGUACUUGAUGAUUCUGGUUGUUAUGGGAACCAUUUCGCCCCAUUCUUUGUGACUUUGGCACUUGCCACUGGGUAUGGGGGAAAUGCCGUCGACUCUGUGCAGAUACUGGUUGGGGCUCAACAUCCUGAAUUUCUACCAGAUCCAGAUGCUGGCUAGAGAGAUUAAGUUGUGCUUCAAUGUCCAUAACUUCAUUGUUAGAGAAUUGUACAAGUUCAAGGCAGGAGGAGGUAUCGUCAGAUACUUCGGGAGUACUUGAGUUGGAAUCAGAUACUGCAGCUGAAAGGAUGGAAGAUUCUGCUAUUGAAACCUCCAAAUCACCUCUUUCCCAAUUUGAUUGCUCCCUUUCUCUCUGUUCCUUCUGUCUGAGCUUUUUCUGUUUUUUCCUUUCCAACAACUCAGACAGAAGG
This 973-nucleotide unclassified non-coding RNA is filed under the name Hevea brasiliensis (rubber tree). The record is from RNAcentral. Lineage: Eukaryota; Viridiplantae; Streptophyta; Magnoliopsida; Malpighiales; Euphorbiaceae.